Molecule: ribosomal RNA, 325 nt
Filed under: Metopolophium dirhodum (rose-grain aphid)
Lineage: Eukaryota; Metazoa; Arthropoda; Insecta; Hemiptera; Aphididae
Description: partial 12S ribosomal RNA
Source: RNAcentral
GAUACCCUAUUAUAAAAGUUUAAAUUAAUUUACUAAAAAAUUAAUAGUUAUGUUCUUUAAAUUUAAAAAAUUUGGCGGUAUUUUAGUCUUAUUAGAGGAACCUGUUUUUUAAUUGAUAAUCCACGAUUAAUUUUACUUAUUUAAAAUAAUUCAUAUAUCGCUGUCAUGAAUAUAUUUAAAAAUUUAUUUUCUUUAUUUAUUUUUAUGAUUUAUGUUAAGUCAAGAUGUGGUUUAUAAAUAAGUUUAUAAUGGGUUACAUUAAAUUUUAUUUUUGGAUUUUAGAUGAAAAUUAAAAUGAAAUUGGAUUUAAUAGUAAAUUUAUUUA